This 276-nucleotide ribosomal RNA is filed under the name Triticum aestivum (bread wheat). Its description in RNAcentral is "partial small subunit ribosomal RNA". The record is from RNAcentral. Lineage: Eukaryota; Viridiplantae; Streptophyta; Magnoliopsida; Poales; Poaceae.
AUGUGGACGGAUGACCUUAAAGUUUCUGUUAUUACUGCUACCUUCCACUACAGAUUAGCUAGAGUAGCUCAUGUAGUUUCUGGGGUCCAAUUUUGCUUACUUUGUAUAUAUGGCGAUCCCUAUCAUCGUCAAACUAAUGCCAUCUGGAGUCAGAUUACCACUUUUGUGUAUGAUAACAUUGGUACUCCCAUGGUAUGUAUGGGUGACCUAAAUGACGUUCUGUAUGAUACGGAUGGUUGUAAUGGCAAUGUAAAUUACUUUCGUAUGAAUGCUUUU